AGCUGUCACGACUAGAAAUUACGUCAUCAAAAUGAGCCGAAAACCGCGGACCUUUCGUCAUUUCCUUUUUCUUUAGCGAUCGGGGAAAGUAUCCUGUUAAAAUGGUGCCUCCUGUGCAGGUUUCUCCGCUUAUUAAGACCGCAAGGUGGUCGGCGUUGCUUGUUGGAAUCAUCUACGGCAAAAAGAGAUAUGACUACCUGAAACCAAUUGCCGCUGAGGAGAGGAGGAUCGAGGAAGAGGAGAAGAGGAUCCGGGAGGAACAAGAGCGGAUAGCAAAGCAGCUGGCAGAGGCUAAUGAAGACACCAUUCUCAAAUGAGCGCUAAGAUGGAUAAUUUGUUUUGUGUUUGUGUAUGAAAAUAAUCAGUACUUUAUCCUUGCUGUAGUGAAGUUAAUUUCUUUCAAGCUACACAGUCUGUAAAAUAAAAAUGAAAACAAAA
This is a long non-coding RNA of Brienomyrus brachyistius, 438 nucleotides long. RefSeq lists it as uncharacterized. The transcript is spliced from 4 exons. NCBI's taxonomy places the organism in Eukaryota, Metazoa, Chordata, Actinopteri, Osteoglossiformes, Mormyridae. The record is from RefSeq and is a predicted model, not a curated record.